UACGUAGGGAGCGAGCGUUGUCCGGAUUCAUUGGGCGUAAAGCGCGCGUAGGCGGUUUGGUAAGUCGGAUGUGAAAAUCCGGGGCUCAACCCCGGACCUGCAUCCGAUACUGCCCGACUAGAGGUAGGUAGGGGAGAUCGGAAUUCCUGGUGUAGCGGUGAAAUGCGCAGAUAUCAGGAGGAACACCGGUGGCGAAGGCGGAUCUCUGGGCCUUACCGGACGCUGAGGCGCGAAAGCGAGGGGAGCGAACAGG
This 253-nucleotide ribosomal RNA is filed under the name uncultured bacterium. RNAcentral's name for it is "partial 16S ribosomal RNA". It matches the Rfam family "Bacterial small subunit ribosomal RNA", at positions 524 to 776 of the family's 1533-position model. The record is from RNAcentral.